AUGUAAAGUUUGAGCUUGCAUAACUGACAUGUUAUUUGUCUCACUCUAAUCUCAGGAACAGGAUCUGACUGCUGUACCCAUGUCUGUCAGCCCACACAAAUCCCCGUGGCGGAAGACCAGAAGAGGAAACUCAUUAGAAGGGACAAAACUCCCUGAGACUGGGGCUCUCUAUCGGUGAUGACCUAUGCACAGGGUAGAGGAGAUGGUUCUUUGGAAGCGGAGGUUAUUGAAGUCGCGACAGUCACAUGGUCAUUGAUACGAUCCAAGUUUCCUCGGCUUGUAAAUGCAAAGCGUUUCCUCAGAGACUUGUGAACAGAUGCUACAGAGAUGUCAACAGACACAAUUUUGAUAUGGUUUUCAAAGAAUUAUAUACUUCUAUUUA
Molecule: long non-coding RNA, 382 nt
Organism: Ornithorhynchus anatinus (platypus)
Lineage: Eukaryota; Metazoa; Chordata; Mammalia; Monotremata; Ornithorhynchidae
Exons: 2
Source: RefSeq, a predicted model, not a curated record